AGGGCUUGGGUGCUUUGUGAGAGGUGUGCUGAUGAGCAAAGGGGCGGCAUCUGCAAAGAGAAUGGAAAUAUUUGCAUGCUUAACAGAACGAACAGGCUUUAAACCUAAGUGAGGUUCGGUUACAAAGGUGCAUGUCGAUCCCUUGGGUACUGCUCUGUGCGCCCACACGUGGAAGCACAUGCAUGGAGACACCUCAGACAACGGUGGGCCUUUCGUGGUUUGGCCUGUUUGCUUCAUUGGUUUGACUGCGUUGCUGUUUGCAGUUUCACGUGGCUGAGCACUUUUCAAAGAAACAACGUUAAAUCUGAGAACUGCAAACUGAAGAGGAGGCCGCCUGCUGUUUGCACUGACCGAGGCUGGGUGUGAUACAGGCACACCCAGCAGCAAUGCCCGGACAUCGUGGACAUCACACGUUGCCUUCUGCAGCCAUCCCAGCUGAGUUACAGCCAUCCUGAUUUCCACAACCUGUUCUGGCAUUGCAGCAGGAGCACGAAAAUCCUGACAUGGGAAGCAUACAUCUCCCUUAUUCUUGGGAAGUCCCCAAAUGCCUCCGUUGGGAUUGAGCUUCUGCUGUCCUAAGCAGUUAACAAAUGCUGCAAGUCAUAUUGUCCGCUUCCUAAACAUGGGCCAGAUAUUGAAUAGAAACAUGUUUCUCUCUGUAGCUUCGACCCACAGAAGGUUACAAAUCCAAACUGCCCAGCUGACUCAAGCUAGGAGCCUCCAAUUUAUCCACGGGCUUCUUCUGGCACAGAACCCACACGUCGUGCAAAGGACAGCUGUGAGUUCAUGGCGUUGUGCAGAGCUCUGCUCAUCCACCACUGACUUGAUCUUGUGAUUUUUGGAGCACGCUGUGGACGUGCAGCAAUGCAUUCUUAGUACUGAGAAGAAACUUCAAGAAAUGGAUAUCUGGCAAGUACUUAAAGUCAGUUCUGAAGUGAUGCUAGAAAUACCACAUUUCUGGUCAGGCCUAUUACUGCAACAUCAAUGAUGCCUUUGUUCCUCGGUGCUUUUAUCCCUUACCCAAACAGCUCAUGAGAUGGCAGAUUGACUGGGAGCCCAAAAUUGCCAGGAGGGCAGUAGCUGUAAGGAUACCAAAUGUUGCCAGCCCUCUUCAAAAGAAAUUACCUUCUGACAAAUAACCUAUUCCUGACACGGCGUGAGCCUGAUAGCAUCACAGUUGACAAUAGAAGGUAGCACUGGUACAGAUUUAAACAUCUCCUCUUAAAAGCAGUUUGUAAUCUUGGCAUAGUUAAUAACUGCAGCACUCCGUGAAGUAAAUACUCAUUAGCCCCUGUUCUAACAACGUGGAGUGGUGUGGCUCUGUGUCAUCAGUGACUCAGCCACACAGGGUCAGUUUCAGUUUGGGGAGCUUCUUCUUUACAGCCCCAUUGCUCUUUUAGGAAAUCCGGAAUGGUGGGCCCCAACCAGGCCUUGGCACCCCCUGUUACAUGGGGCCAGAGGAAAUGAUGCCAUUUCAAAUACAUUCCUGAGGGCACCAAGUGGGGUACAGUCUGAGGACACAGGUUGUCCUGAUAUGUCCUCCUGGUCCUACCAGACACACCUGGUGGUAUCUUGGGCACUGGUUUUGAAGCUUUUUAUAUAGGAUAUGGCACGGUCUCAAAACACUGCUGUACAGUAGCAAGCCAUGCUACAGACCCCUUCCCUCCACAACAAAGUCCCUGUCUGACUCCACCCCCAGCUCAGAUAUUACUGCGUGGCAGACAUUUCCCAAGCAGUCAGACAUUAAUGUAACCCACAGCGAGCUGUUGUAUGUGCACAAGCUGCUGAUACAGGGAGUGAGGGAUUUCGUAAGGCCCGAGGAAUAAGAGCAGUGAUUAAACACAAUUCUCCUUAGUGCACCUAAGCAUAAUAGUCUCUUGAUGUUGGCAUCUCCUUUUGAAAUGCUAAUGGCCUUCUUCUGGUUAGCUCUUUAGGAUCAGCGAGUAAAGAGGCAUUAGGAAAUAAAAGUACCAUUCGUGUUGAUAUGAAAGAGUUGUUCUACCCUACAAUGCAACUGCAAAUGGCACAAAGGAGUUUUAUGUUUGUUGUCUCCCUGCAG
Gallus gallus (chicken) is the source of this 2059-nucleotide long non-coding RNA. The record is from Ensembl. NCBI's taxonomy places the organism in Eukaryota, Metazoa, Chordata, Aves, Galliformes, Phasianidae.